UCGCUCAGGUCUGCCAGCAUCGACGAAUAUGCGUUUCGCCUUUUACUAAACGCAUCCGUGCUGGGGGACACUUACGAUGAGUCUAAAUGGCAAUUUUUGUGGCUCCUUAUAGGGGCU
This 117-nucleotide small nuclear RNA is filed under the name Tropilaelaps mercedesae. Its description in RNAcentral is "U5 spliceosomal RNA". It matches the Rfam family "U5 spliceosomal RNA". From Rfam's summary of the family: U5 RNA is a component of both types of known spliceosome. The precise function of this molecule is unknown, though it is known that the 5' loop is required for splice site selection and p220 binding, and that both the 3' stem-loop and the Sm site are important for Sm protein binding and cap methylation. The record is from Rfam by way of RNAcentral. Lineage: Eukaryota; Metazoa; Arthropoda; Arachnida; Mesostigmata; Laelapidae.